UGCUGGGGAGGCAAACAUGUCGGAGCUAGAAAAAACGAGAAUCCCCGCUGGAACCACGCUCAGAAACCUGCCGGAUUUCCUGAAGUCAUGACUACCUGGCCACAGUUUUUUCCAGGUGUAAAAGGACAGACAAAUUUUAAAGUCUCUUCCAGAAAACAGGAGAAGUAAGGAGAGCUUUAAGGAGAAAAAAGGAAGUCAAACAACCUGG
This is a long non-coding RNA of Loxodonta africana (African savanna elephant), 208 nucleotides long. RefSeq lists it as uncharacterized. The record is from RefSeq and is a predicted model, not a curated record. The transcript has 3 exons. NCBI's taxonomy places the organism in Eukaryota, Metazoa, Chordata, Mammalia, Proboscidea, Elephantidae.